This is a long non-coding RNA of Parus major (Great Tit), 737 nucleotides long. RefSeq lists it as uncharacterized. The transcript is spliced from 3 exons. The record is from RefSeq and is a predicted model, not a curated record. Lineage: Eukaryota; Metazoa; Chordata; Aves; Passeriformes; Paridae.
UCAGCACCUUGGGAGCAUCUCCAGGGGCAGGAGAGCCCCGGCAGGGUCAGUUCAGUGGGAGUUUUCUGUGUUUAUUAUCAGUCUGUGAUCCUUUCCCGUUCCAGGCCGAGUGCUGGGAGCCCUGUUUGGAGGCAGAAUUGCUUUGUUCCAUCUCUCAGGGCUGCUUUUAUUCCCACAGGGCUCGUGGUUGUGCCUGGCAGCCCAGGGGGAGAGCGGCUGCCCGGACCUGGCCGAGUUCCCCACGCUGGAGGAAGGGCUGCUGUCCCCAGCUCAGCCUUCUCCUGCAGCUCCAGCCCCUGCCUCGCCACUGGAUCUCCAGGAGAGCCGCUUCUCCCCGUGCCUGCCCCUGCUGCUGAGCCCAGCGCGGGCCGAGACGUUCCUGCAGGGAUCCCAGAUGGAUUUCCUUCCCCUCAGAGGAAUCCCGGAUGUUUCUGGAGCAUCCCUGGAGCCAUCAGAGCCUUCCCACAUCGCUGGGAGCGCAGCCCUGAGGGGCCCAGCCCUUCCCAGUCCAUCCCAGCACUCCCAGUCCGUGGGACACGCGGAUCCCGGAGCCGCUUCCCCGAGCUCCCUGUCUGGGGAGCCGCUGGCCAGGGGGGACAGGGACACCGAGCAGGAGGCACCAGGGCCCCGGAGCAGGGGACAGCCAGCACAGGCAGCUCCAGAGGAGGGGCUGGGAAAGGGGCUGGAGCAGCCCUGGAGCACGGCUGGGAAGGAUGGACACCCCUCUGGACACCCCU